AGUGGCGGACGGGUGAGUAACGCGUGAGAAUCUGCCUUGGGGUCGGGGACAACCACUGGAAACGGUGGCUAAUACCGGAUAAGCCGAUUGGUGAAAGAUUUAUUGCCCGAAGAGGAGCUCGCGUCUGAUUAGCUAGUUGGUGAGGUAAGAGCUCACCAAGGCAGCGAUCAGUAGCUGGUCUGAGAGGACGAUCAGCCACACUGGGACUGAGACACGGCCCAGACUCCUACGGGAGGCAGCAGUGGGGAAUUUUCCGCAAUGGGCGAAAGCCUGACGGAGCAAGACCGCGUGAGGGAGGAAGGCUCUUGGGUUGUAAACCUCUUUUCUCAGGGAAGAAGCUCUGACGGUACCUGAGGAAUCAGCCUCGGCUAACUCCGUGCCAGCAGCCGCGGUAAUACGGAGGAGGCAAGCGUUAUCCGGAAUUAUUGGGCGCAAAGCGUCCGCAGGUGGCGAUUCAAGUCUGCUGUCAAAGCACGGGGCUUAACUCCGUAAAGGCAGUGGAAACUGAAUAGCUAGAGUGCCGUAGGGGUAGAGGGAAUUCCCGGUGUAGCGGUGAAAUGCGUAGAGAUCGGGAAGAACAUCGGUGGCGAAAGCGCUCUACUGGACGGCAACUGACACUCAGGGACGAAAGCUAGGGGAGCGAAUGGGAUUAGAUACCCC
This 660-nucleotide ribosomal RNA is filed under the name uncultured bacterium. Its description in RNAcentral is "bacterial SSU rRNA". It matches the Rfam family "Bacterial small subunit ribosomal RNA", at positions 94 to 788 of the family's 1533-position model. The record is from RNAcentral.